Cygnus olor (mute swan) is the source of this 5493-nucleotide long non-coding RNA. RefSeq lists it as uncharacterized. The record is from RefSeq and is a predicted model, not a curated record. The transcript is spliced from 3 exons. Lineage: Eukaryota; Metazoa; Chordata; Aves; Anseriformes; Anatidae.
GGGUUCCUCCUUCUUCAGCGUCUUUUUUUUUUUUUUUUUUCCGCCGUAAAUUUGGCAGGUUGUUGACAAAGCUGUUUGAGUUAAAUCACAUAAGCCCCAAUGAGCCCUCCGGCCGAGGACGGGCUUCGCGGCCCCUUUGUACUUCAGAGUGCUUUCACCGCUCUGCAGUCCCCAGCCAGGGUUUUUUUAUAGCACCUCUCUCUCAUCUCCCCCAUCUCCCCGCACCCCGCAUCCAGCUCCGCGCUGGUCCCUCGGCGGGGGGCUGCGGGGGAAGGGGGGGGGGGGCGCGUUAUCAAAGCGGCGCUGGGAAACCCAAACGGGCUGCGAGAGCAGCUCCGCUAUCAAUAAAGGCGUUCCCUCCUUCAAAGCCAUCCCGGCGCAAAAUAAAAUCCCUUCUGGAGCCCAGCGGGGAAGGCACAUCUCGGCCGGUCCCCCCCGGCGCUGCACUGCCAGGUUCGCUGGUGCUGGAGCUUUUAGGUUAACUGGACAGUGUUCUGGUGUGCUUUACUGCUAACAUCCAAGAGUUUUCACGAGGAAAGAAGAAAAGAAAAAAGAAAAGAAAAAAAAAAGAAACAUUAAGUAAUGCAGUAGGAAGUGCAAUGAUACCACUGAAGGUCCGAACAGCAGAACCCUGGAAGAACAACACUGUGGGCUUUUAGGGAUGAAGGUCUGCUCUAGCGCUGCUAGCUCAGCAAUUCUCUAUAAGACAGAAAAAGAUUAUUUCUGGCAUUUCAGAUGUGUUUCUGCCAUUCUUUUCUGCAGAGUAAUGCAUUUUAACAAAGGACUAGUCACAUUGGAAUACUGUAUGCAUGUGUUCAUUUUAACGUGCAGUGCUGCUGUGUGAUUUAUAUCUUUACACCUUGGCCAAUGGCAAGUAUCCAGUCAGAGGCUGAUAGGCACAUUUUUCCAUCACAAAGAACCCAUUUGGGAAGCAGAGCUUUCUAGGGAAGAAGCUCGCAUGACUGCUGAAGAAACUUUGACAAGUUAAAAGACUAGAAGACAAAAGAAACAGUUUGGAUGUCUUCCCCCAUCCCCUGCCACUGCCCCAAAUUCACGAUGUUGAAAGAAGCCAGGACAUUUAGGAACAGCAGUAACCACUAAGGAGGAAGAAACACAGAGUCUAGCCCAGCAUUUGUCUUUACCAGAUGGAGACCUAUGUUACAUACAGUGAGAUGCAAAUAAGAGGCAGCAGGCAACAAAGGAAAACGUAGAGGGUAACAAAGUCACACAGAGUCUCAAAGUCACACGGUAUUUACACCGAUCUACAAACCUGCAAAGUCUGUGGAAAGACAUACACCAUUUUAUAUGUGAAUUAAUGAUAACUAUACCAAUUUGUUAUUACUACUAAUGAACUACAUAACAAAUACACCCUCAAGACACUCAGCAUUUGUUUGCAUUAUCACCUGGAGAAAGACAGUUGCGGACUCAUUUUUGUUUUUUAAUGUGCAAAAUGGGUGAGUUCUUUUCAUUCCCUCCUCUCCUGAGGGCUGCUGAACCUUGCUGCCAGUGCUGAAACUGCUGUGCAGGUACAAUGUGUGGGUGAGUUUGGUCAUGGAGGAAAAUAAAGGUACAAGAGAAUCUUCAUGAAGAUGAGAACUGACUCCAAAAGCUGUUGAAGUGGGAUGUCAGGUGGAUGCUGCAUCUAGGGGGGCACAGGGAGCCACUGAGGUGAGGUCAGGCCUUGUGGCAGAUGACCAAAAAACACCCUAACAAUCUACACUUCGUUGCCCCUCAGUGUCGACUGUUGCUGUUCAUGGGGAACUGGUGCUGUGGGCAGCUGCAUAACCCAGCCCUGGCUUGGGCACACCAAACUAACGGUGCAGGUGCUGACACCAAUGCAGGUGUCCAAAGGAGGUGUUCAAGGUGGCCAUGACACCUCUACAGCUGACAGGACAUGGGAAAGCUGCCUAGGCCUUGGUUUUCUGUAUUAAUAUAGACCACAAAACAGAAGCUUCUGGCGUUUUUCUCUAGAAUUUGUUGUUGAAGGUAAUCAUCAAAGAGCUAACUUGUGCGCCAGGAGCAUUUGUGGCCUUCUCCAUCCUGCCUCUCUUCCGACAGGCAUCCUUCUCCUCGCACCUUGUGCUUUGGCUCACAAGCCAUGGCUCUUUAUCUCAGUGACACCCCUCCUGUCCGCAUCUCGGCCAUGCCCCUCCUGCCACCAUAUGUCAUUGGAAUGUUUCAAGUAGCGAGUCUGGUUUACUUAAAGAAUAGUGCUUUUACAGGAAUAAUACUUUGCUUUGUUUCCAUUAGGACCUUAAAAAAAACGUUUAUGGGAGGAAAAAUAAACAAUCCCACCACCACUCCUUAACAACAGAGUACUUUCCCUCUCCUAAUGCUACCAGUGCCUUCUUUCAAUGAGGCCGAAGGCACCUCCCACAAACUCUGGAGGGCUCUUACAGGUUUCUUCUGAGUGGCCUGAACCUUCCUCUCCCCAGUACACACACAAAGGCACACACAGGGUUCAUUUUCCAGAGAUGAUCAGGCAAGGAGCUUUGUUGUGCUGACCACAGACCAGCACAGUCUCCUGGCUGUUCCUUAGAGAGCUGCAAAGUAGCCGACGAAUCCAAGCAAGGCGAUAGCCACAGAGGGUCCGCACAGGAGACAACAGGGAAAAGACAGGACAAGGCCCUUUUCCACAAUAUACCUGCAUCACCCGCCUGGCACAGAGCUGCUCUUGCACUCGGGUCUCUGCCUUGGGGCUUCAGGUUCCCAGCUGCAGCAGCAGUGAGGUGGCUGAAGCAGCCCAGCACUGGCUGUAGGGCUGAGGGAGCACCCUGGGGUGUCCCUGCGCUGCACCAGCCGGCCGCAUGCUCCAGUUACAUGGCUAACGCACCCUGGAAGGCCUGAGCUGUGGUCUGGGGCCACAUCCACCAUGCCUCUUGGGCCACGCAGGAUUGUACUCCUACCUUAGCGAAGUUUUGAAUCCCAUGUUCGGCCUAGCGGGUUUUCCUGGUGCUGCUGCGAUUUCUGGGCCAGGCUCACAACCCACAGGUAGCUAGGGCUCCCAGGAGAUUUUACUGGUGGCAAAUCAGCAAACCAUGAGCAAGCAGACCAUGAAUUUACAUGCAGGGAGGGGAAGAGAGGAAAGGACACCACAGAGAACCCAUGAGCACGAACCAGUGUGACAGCCACUCCUGACAUGGUCACAGCCGUGUGGCUGCCUGGGGCUGCGGCCGCUCCUGAAAUACUUACCCCGUGAAGGAUUAGCAGAGCAGGCCCGAGUUUAUAAUUGCAGCAAUAUUAGAUCCCCAAAGUCUACAUAGCUCAAGGAAGAAUGUAGGUGGAUGCUGUCUGGUGCUGUGACCUGAAAUAUCUCUAAGCUUUUUUUUUAAAUAUGUGCACACAUACGUAUCAUCAGUAAGGUGUGUUUAAGAGGUUAGUGCUUAUAUGACACUUAUCUUAAAGACUGCUUUAGAUAAUUCAUCAUUUCCUUAGAACUAAAGAUAUGUCAUAACAGCUAAGCCAAUGUCUAUUUGUCUGUGACUGCUCAAAGGCAAUACAAUUCUUAGCACAGCUAUCAAUCUAUGCACCCUGAGCAACGUAUCCAAUAAAUGUAACCCUAUCUUUCAAGCUCCAUAACAGUCUGUGAACUGACCUUGUUUCUUACCAGUUUAUUUGUAAUAUAGCAUUGUGUGGCAGCUCAUUUUAUUAAGACACUUAAGGUCUAGAUCAUGACUUGCUGCCUUGGUGGUACUAUUGCCUCUAUAUUUUCAUGGAAUGAUUAAGGUCCCAUUUCAGCCCUACAUUAUUUUCCUCGAUCUAAAUGAAAAUUGUGAAAACUUUUGAAAACAGCACUGAUGGUGUGAAUGUUUGACCACAGUGGAUAACACAAGGCUAAACUGAUAGUACAGCCAUGGGACCAGGCUGAGCAGUGUGUCAGUCAUCUAUUCAUGGAAUAGAUAUAGUGGCUGUGUGUGUACACUUGGCACUUAAUGGCAAGUGCUUCCCCUGUUAAAAUCACUAACCCAGGCUUAAAACACUGGAAAUUCAUUUUCCAUGGGCUGCCUCUCAUUCUCUUCUGCUGUUUAAGAGCCUGAAGACUGUCACUUUUUUCAGGACCAAAAAAAAAAAAGUGCUCAAGGUAUAGUCGUGAAAGAAGCAAGGGCCAUUAUGGUUGAAAGCAUGUUGUGGUUGCAGGCUGGACCUGCCAAUGAAGUGGAUGAGGGCUGCUGGGGUUUGGUAUAAAAGUCCAUACAGUGUGUAUGUGUGCCUCUUGUUCUCUUUCUUCUUUCAAAGGCAGAGAAAGACAACCCAAGCAGCUUAUCGUGCUACUGCAGCUCAUAAACUCACGGCGAUGUUCUUCUAUUCUUUAUAAUGUUACAGAACACUGGAAGCCUUUUUGUCAAGUAGCAGUAUUUUUGCUUCUGGGAGAGCAUGACAUGUACUCAUUAGUACCCAGUGUGUUUCUUUGAAUAGCUGUAGUAAUUGCCCAGUCCUACCUCAUUGGCAUCUGUCCUGGUCACAGCAUUUCUUCCAUCCAAGCAGUCAGUAUUAACCUAUAAUUCAAAGCAUAGUGGUGACUUCAUGAUAUCACUUUUAACAAAGCAGCCAAGCAAAGGAACAACAACAGAAGGAGCCACUUAAUUGCUCAGUAAUAGUCAUCACACUUUAGUUUAUCUAAUUGUCUUUAUUAUGGGUUGCCAAUUUAGCAACUUUCCUUUAUUUAAGCAGCUGAUUUGCUAAUAUUUUCAUAAAUCACUUCCUUCUAGAAUAUGAGUCACAGAAUAGUUUAACAAGAGCAGAGGUGGAGGUACCGACCUACAGCUUGUAGUGAACUCCACAGGAAAACAGAAUCUCAUUCUUUUCUGCAAGGCUUUACGCAGAAUAUUUGUUGUGUUUUCUUGAUCAGCUACAUGUAUUUCUAUGGAAAGAUAGAAAUGAAAUGCCAGAGGCUAACACUCUACCUGUUUUUCAAGCAAAAGUGCAUUUCCGUGCAUUUCCAUCAACUCUAUUUAUUUAUUUAUUUAUUUAUGUGACAGCACUAGCGUGAGAGCUACAUUAUCAUGAGUUGGAUAUCAUGAGGACAUCAUAAGGAUAUUUUCUAUUUAUUUCCAUAGAAGCUGGUAGCAUUUCUUCCCUAUUCUGCAACACCAAUUUGUGUUCCUUAGGAAAAUAUUCCCAAGUUUUUCAGCAUUUUGUUGUACCUCUCCUCUUUAUCAAAAAAGUGCUUUAGUCCCAACAUGAUUCUCUAGGUAUGAAAAAGGUGUAUAGAAACACAUUUUAAAAAACACUUAAAUGUGUGACAGAGCAGGGCUUUGUGCCACUAAGUCGACAGGGUGAUCUCUUCAAAAUAUCGGACUUCAUGCUUGCCAUUUGUACUGGAAUGAAUAUUGACAGUCUUGUCCCCGAGACUAGAAUAGUUUUGGGGAGAGCAUUCCUUGUCUGAAAUACAACUUGAGCAGCAUUUUAUUAUACUGUGACCCUGUGAGUAUACAAUCAGGAGGGCCUCCUGGGGUUUAUUUCAGCUGAUUAUGGAACACAGAGCAGAAUAUA